GAGAGAGAAAGAGAGAAAAGCACAGGGUCACAGGAAGACUGACGGGCAAAGACACAGUUACAGACCUAUGAACAGAGCCACACGCCAAACAGGGACAAACCGUUGAGGGAGGAGAAACUCCCAGGAGCCUGGAGAGAAUGGCUCGGCACAGCAGAUGCAGCCGUGGUGGCCAUGGAGCUGACCAGCCUCUUGGGAGUGAGCUGGCCACCUGAGCACGGUCCACUCAGCCCACACAAGCAGCAGCACCACCUCGCUGACAGGAGCUUCGUCAAUGCCUGCCGCCUCCUCCUUCCAUAACGAGGGACCACCUAGCAGGGACUUUCACUUUUAUUUCCACAGAGAACCUUGUGGUUAGAAGUCCAAUGGGUCUAGGCUGUGGGAAUCUUCUUAUUAACCACAAACAGAUGUCAAAAGGAUCUUUCCUAAUACUGUAGAUACUGCACUUGGCUCGUGUGGGAGUCCACUGUCUGUGGAAACAUUACUCGUCUAUUUUUCAGGUAUGGUCUAUACACAUAAAAGGCAGAGAUCUUAAAGGUACAGUUUGAUCCAUUUUGACAAAUGGAUACACCCCCUGUUUUUAUCAGAUGCUUCACUGAGCCCCCGUUUCAUGGUGUAAUUUAAGUGCCAUGACACCUG
Molecule: long non-coding RNA, 636 nt
Filed under: Homo sapiens (human)
Lineage: Eukaryota; Metazoa; Chordata; Mammalia; Primates; Hominidae
Description: non-protein coding TRPC7-AS1:1
Source: RNAcentral